GCCAACCCAGGGGAGCUCAGGUGCAUGCAAUGAACCUGAGUGACUGGAAGGGGUGGAGCCAGGAUCCACCCCUUACCAGGCCUAAUUUAAGGGUUGGCAGUGGAGGUGAGGGGAUCUUACUAGAGAUCUCUGUGUGCCUGAGGCUUUCUAAAGGUAAGUAGCUUUUCCCAUUUGUUUCUGUGUCUAUGGCUGCUGCAUUUGGGCUUGUCCUCAUUUGCUGUAGCCAGAGACUUUGCUACUCUGUUAUUAUUACUGUACUUUCUCAUUAUAGCAUUAAAUGUAUCAAAUUUAAGGUAUGAAGGUGGAGAAUGAGAUGAAGGUGGUUGUGAUGGUCAGAGAUUGUCUUCUGUAGUGAAAUCUGAGAUUCUCAUCCCUUUGCAAAGCUCUCAGAGAAGUUUUCUCAUAUCAAUAGUUGUAGCAGCUAUUCUGUGCAUGUCUGAAGGCAUACUUAGUGUAGAGGUGAGAUAACUCCUUACCUAUAUCCUUACUUUUCAGCUAGUUGAGCUUGCUGGAACGCGUGCUGGUAUCCUAAGGAACCACCUUGAUCCUCUUCUUGACAGGGAGGCCCUUACUCUCCUGAGAAGACUGUAAAACCCGACUGAACUUUCUCUUUCAAUUUACUUGUCUAAGAAGAAAACAGCUUAAUCCUUUCAAAAUGCUGUGCAGUGGGAAUGAGAGCCCAUCACCUGGAUUAGAGGAGAAAAGUCACACCACCUGCAGGAUGGCAUAACACAAAUGACCCAUCUCUUUGCAUGACAGAUUGUGCUCUGAGUGACAGCUGUCAGCAGGGCACCUGUGAAUCUGAGGAACAGCCAGAGGGACCUUCAUGGAGGUGAAGCAGGAGGAGGUGAAGGAGCAGUGCUACCAUGUUGUAAAGGAAUUGACUCCAUGGGCCUUACUGCUGUGGAUGCUUCCUGUGAUCCACAGCCAGUGAGUUACAUCAUGAAGCUACAGCGGGGGCUGGAAAGACAGCCAUGGGGCCAUCUUCCAGAAUUCAUUCCAGAAACUGCCAGCCCCAAGGCUGCCCGUUCCAGGUAGCAAGACUGAGGACCUGUCCUCUCAGGCUGGCUCUGGUGCUGCUUCCUCCUUUGCUGACCCUCUGCUGUGUAGUGAGGUUGUUGAAAUAAGAGUUAACAGGUAGCCAUGAAGGAUUUGGUGUGGAGCGUGGUGUUGUGCUUGACUAGGUCUCCCAAGGGUAAUGAAGAGAACAGAGAAAAUCUCCUUGAAGAGCAGUACUGUAAACAUAAAAUCAAAACCAAGAAGCAGACUGCCACGGCCAGCCAUAAUCUUGAAAUACUGUCCUAAACUGGAAGGCAUGUAAAUAUUUUGAAGCCUGUUCUAAUGGCUGGGGCAGAACUAGCUUUGGGAAAUGCAGUGAAUCUCAGCAAAUUUCCCAUCGGUUCAGAAGGACAGGGUUUCUUUCGUCAUCCUAAAUUUCCUGAUUUUUUUUUUCCACGUUUCUCCAGAUUUUCUCCUUUAGGAUAGCACAUUGUCCUGGAGGCCAUCCCUUUAUCCUGGUUGCUCUAGGAUCAGAAUUCUUCUCUGUCUGUCAUAGAUGUGUAUACCCUGAAUCAAGUGAUGGUGGCUUUCAUUGUGCUGUAUGCUGCUGCAUUUCUGGGCAGGAUUGAGGAGAAGGAGGAAAUCCAGUGGUGGCUUGGUAAUAGGUUCCAAAAAUCAAAUCAACUUGUGCAAGGCAAAUUUAUGGUGUG
This is a long non-coding RNA of Numida meleagris (helmeted guineafowl), 1709 nucleotides long. RefSeq lists it as uncharacterized. The record is from RefSeq and is a predicted model, not a curated record. The transcript is spliced from 3 exons. Lineage: Eukaryota; Metazoa; Chordata; Aves; Galliformes; Numididae.